UAACACAUGCAAGUCGAACGCGAAAGUGGAGCAAUCCAUGAGUAGAGUGGCGAACGGGUGAGUAACGCGUGGGUGACCUACCUUCGAAUGGGGGAUAACGCCCCGAAAGGGACGCUAAUACCGCAUAACAUCCUGCCUUUGAACAGGUGGAGAUCAAAGCCGGGGAUCGCAAGACCUGGCGUUUGGAGAGGGGCCCGCGUCUGAUUAGCUAGUUGGUGAGGUAGCGGCCCACCAAGGCGACGAUCAGUAUCCGGCCUGAGAGGGCGGACGGACACACUGGGACUGAGACACGGCCCAGACUCCUACGGGAGGCAGCAGUGGGGAAUCGUUCGCAAUGGGCGCAAGCCUGACGACGCAACGCCGCGUGGAGGAUGAAGGUCUUCGGAUUGUAAACUCCUGUUGCCAGGGACGAAAAGCUCCGACCUAACACGUCGGAGUCUGACGGUACCUGGUGAGGAAGCCCCGGCUAACUCUGUGCCAGCAGCCCGCGGUAAUACAGAGGGGGCUAGCGUUGUUCGGAAUUACUGGGCGUAAAGGGCGCGUAGGCGGCCCGCUAAGUCGAACGUGAAAUCCCCGGGCUCAACCCGGGAACUGCGUCCGAUACUGCAGGCUUGAAUCC
This 619-nucleotide ribosomal RNA is filed under the name uncultured Acidobacteriota bacterium. RNAcentral's name for it is "bacterial SSU rRNA". It matches the Rfam family "Bacterial small subunit ribosomal RNA", at positions 49 to 649 of the family's 1533-position model. Lineage: Bacteria; Pseudomonadati; Acidobacteriota. The record is from RNAcentral.